Molecule: ribosomal RNA, 484 nt
Filed under: uncultured bacterium
Lineage: Bacteria
Description: partial 16S ribosomal RNA
Rfam family: Bacterial small subunit ribosomal RNA
Source: RNAcentral
AUUGAACGCUGGCGGCAUGCUUUACACAUGCAAGUCGAACGGCAGCGCGGGCUUCGGCCUGGCGGCGAGUGGCGAACGGGUGAGUAAUGCAUCGGAACGUGCCCAGUAGUGGGGGAUAGCCCGGCGAAAGCCGGAUUAAUACCGCAUACGACCUGCGGGUGAAAGCGGGGGACGGAAAGGCCUCGCGCUAUUGGAGCGGCCGAUGUCGGAUUAGCUAGGUGGUGGGGUAAAGGCUUACCAAGGCGACGAUCCGUAGCUGGUCUGUGAGGACGACCAGCCACACUGGGACUGAGACACGGCCCAGACUCCUACGGGAGGCAGCAGUGGGGAAUUUUGGACAAUGGGGGCAACCCUGAUCCAGCCAUGCCGCGUGCGGGAAGAAGGCCUUCGGGUUGUAAACCGCUUUUGUUCGGGAAGAAAUCCUCUGGGCUAAUACCCCGGGGGGAUGACGGUACCGGAAGAAUAAGCACCGGCUAACUACGUG